RNAcentral lists this unclassified non-coding RNA (2192 nucleotides) under Limulus polyphemus (Atlantic horseshoe crab). Its description in RNAcentral is "twisted gastrulation protein homolog 1-like, transcript variant X1". Lineage: Eukaryota; Metazoa; Arthropoda; Merostomata; Xiphosura; Limulidae. The record is from RNAcentral.
AGAUUGGUUUAGCUACCCUAGUAAUUUGGUUUGGAAAUAAAAUAACUUUAAAGAAAGAAAAUUUAAAAUUGUAUUGGUCUUAAUGCCAGUUAUUAUAGUAAUACUAAUAGAUGGCUGUCAUGGAGAGAGGAGCAUCUUUGAUCUUAAUUGCUUCCUGUUUUGUUAGUUUUUUGUCAGUUUCUCAGCAGUGCAAUGAAGCAGUGUGUGGAUCAAUUGUAAGCAAAUGUAUGCUAACUCAGUCCUGUAAGUGUGAGAAGGCAAAUUCAACUUGCAGUCGGAAUUGUUUCCUGUGUCUAGAUGAUUUGUAUAUAGAAUGUUGCUCCUGUGUUGGGCUGUGUCCCAAGCCCAACGACACAGACACAGACAUGAGUAAAAAAUCUCAUGUAGAAGAUCUGUCUGAACCAAUUCCAGUACUUUUUACAGUCUUAACUGAAAAGGAAGACCACAAGUUUCGGUGGAUUUCCUACACAUUUCCAGCUCACUUAUCAUUCAUUACUCUAGCUGAAACAAAUGACAUCAAAGUUUCUUCUGUGUGGGUGGAUAAUGAAGUAGAUUUUGAGGAACAAGAGAUAAACUGCACUGUUGCCUACAUGUCCCAGUGUACAUCAUGGAACAAGUGUAAAAACUCUUGUAGAUCCAUGGGAGCAGCCAGCUAUCGAUGGUUCCACGAUGGUUGUUGUGAAUGCAUUGGAUCCACUUGCAUUAAUUAUGGCAUUAAUGAAAGCAGAUGUUACAAAUGUCCUGUUGAGAAGGAGGAAGUGAGCGAAGAAGAAAAUGAGGUAGUAAAGACACAUACAAAAAUGUUUGGUGGCUCAGGAGAAAAGCAGUUUGGCAAACUUGAGAUAACAGAUACUGGAAAAAAGAAUUAUCAAGAACUUGAAUCAUAGGCUCAGUUUGAAAUUGACCAAAUAUCCCACAUGUUAAAAAAAUGCCUAAUAGAAAUUUUAGUUUUUAUGAGUCACUGUUGUCCGUGAGAGAAGCUUGGUAAAGCAGUAACUGACAAAGAUUCUAUUGUACUCAAAUUUUACAUGGAUUUAUUGCUUAACUAGCAAGAGCCACAACAACAACAAAAAGUAACAUUUUAUACGUACAUAUAUAUUUGUGUGUGUGUGUAGCAAAAUCUUAUCUUCUGUAAAUGUACAGAAUUUAAUCAAAUUUGUUAUAUCAUUAAAAAAAAUCUUUUUCUAACUUUUUCUUUAGCUCAGGGCAUAACCUAAGUUUGUAUUUGAUUAUUUUUUUCUUAUCUCCUUACUCUAUAUUGAUGAAAUUGGCCGAGUGUUUGGUAAGGUGCACACUCUGAUUAAAUUAGCUUUCUCCUUAGUAUAUUUCACCUCUAGGAUAAGGUACCUGUUAAUAGUUAUUGUUGAUAGCUUUAGUGAUUUUUAUGAUGUAUGAUACAGAAUAUAAAAUCUUGAUUUUAAUGCCCUCAUAUUUCAGGUUCAGUGAGUAUUUUUUUUUCCUAACUGUAAGUAAUAUGGUUGCAAAAAUCAACUGAUAUCUCAUGAUUGUUCAGGUGGCCUUUGUUAUUUUCAGUUGGUUCAUGCAUGUAUUGGACAUUUUUUAUUGCAACACCAUGUUUGAAAUUAUAGGUAUUAUAUAGUUAUCAUUUUAGGCCAACCGAAGCAAUUUAUGUAUGUGUAUAUGCAAAACCACGUAAAGAAGAUUUAUAAAAAGUAUGAUUUGUAUAACAAGUUGUAAAACUUGUAUGCUAUGCUAUUUUUAUACAUUUUAUCAUUUAUCAUCUUCACUUAACCCAUUUCUUGUUUAUAAUUUAUAAGCUUCACUAAACACAUCCUAACAAGGCAUGUUUUGAAACUUGUGUGUACUUCUUUCGUUUAAAAGUUUUUGUUUUUUUUCCAUUGUUACUAAGUUUAUUAUUAAUUGGCAUGUUUGGUACUUAAAUAUUUUGUUACUUUGUUUAUUUAACAGUUUAUAUUAUUCAUUAAAUUAAAUUAAGUAAAAUUACAUCUAACAAGCCUAACACUUAAAGGAAAGUAUACAGACAGGAAGAUAGAAUUGAAAAUAGUGUUAAAACUUCGAGUUAAAAGAUCUCAUGUAUGGAAUGAGUGCAAACCAAAUCAAAAUGAAUUAUUGGCUAAUAAAUAGAAUAAAAAGAAACAUUUCAUUUUUAAAUUACAUUAAAAUGAUAUGAAUACAGAGGUUUUUAAUGGCAGUGUUUUUUUUUCUCUUGA